This 253-nucleotide ribosomal RNA is filed under the name uncultured bacterium. RNAcentral describes it as "partial 16S ribosomal RNA". It matches the Rfam family "Bacterial small subunit ribosomal RNA", at positions 524 to 776 of the family's 1533-position model. The record is from RNAcentral.
UACAGAGGGGGCAAGCGUUGUUCGGAAUUACUGGGCGUAAAGGGCGCGUAGGCGGCCUUCUAAGUCGAACGUGAAAUCCCUGGGCUCAACCCAGGAACUGCGUCCGAUACUGGGAGGCUUGAAUCCGGGAGAGGGAUGUGGAAUUCCAGGUGUAGCGGUGAAAUGCGUAGAUAUCUGGAGGAACACCGGUGGCGAAGGCGAGUCCCUGGACAAUUCCUGACACUGAGGCACGAAAGCUAGGGGAGCAAACAGG